Molecule: ribosomal RNA, 468 nt
Filed under: uncultured bacterium
Lineage: Bacteria
Description: partial 16S ribosomal RNA
Rfam family: Bacterial small subunit ribosomal RNA
Source: RNAcentral
GACGAACGCUGGCGGCGUGCUUAACACAUGCAAGUCGAACGGAAAGGCCCUGCUUUUGUGGGGUGAUCGAGUGGCGAACGGGUGAGUAACACGUGAGUAACCUGCUCUUGACUUUGGGAUAACUUCAGGAAACUGGGGUUAAUACCGGAUAGGAGCUCCUGCUGCAUGGAGGGGGUUGGAAAGUCUCGGCGGUUGGGGAUGGACUCGCGGCUUAUCGGCUUGUUGGUGGGGUAGUGGCUUACCAAGGCUGUGACGGGUAGCCGGCAUGAGAGGGUGGACGGCCACAUUGGGACUGAGGUACGGCCCAGAGUCGUACGGGAGGCAGCAGUGGGGAAUAUUGCACAAUGGGCGGAAGCCUGAUGCAGCAACGCCGCGUGCGGGAUGACGGCCUUCGGGUUGUAAACCGCUUUCGCCUGUGACGAAGCGUGAGUGACGGUAAUGGGUAAAGAAGCACCGGCUAACUACGUG